AAGCAUCAAGACAGUCUUCCAUGAAGUCCAACAACAAGGCUGCCUUGGCUUUCUUUGCCACCGCACUUCUGAUGUCUGGAUUUUUUCCAUUUCUCUCUUCCUCCUUCUCACAGGCUGCUGAUAUAUGAAAGAGGGCUGUGUGAUUCUGGCUCUAAUUUCCACUGAAAGUAGGAGGUUUAUGGCCUUUUCUUAGGUCUUUCCCACAUACUACAUUCUUCAAGCUGUGUCUCCCUGGUAGAAAGUGAACUGCUUGAAGGCUUGGGGCACUUCUGGCUUCCACUUUCAAGAGAGAUGAUGGAAGAUACCAAUUCUACUUUGGGCACCUGAAGGAAAAGACUAUGAAAACUCUGACAUGAGAGCAGCUGGCAAUCUCCAUCAUUUCUGUAUCUCCAACUAGAGACUUUAAGGAACUUCCCCUUGGGGUCUCAUCUGGAACUGGUCAGGCAUGGAGAACAUUGGCACAGAGAGUUAAAAAGAAAAAUAAAAUUCUCCUGGAGAAACAGACAACAGGGCAAAGAAUUCAAAAGGGUCCCUUUGGUGUUGCUGGAAAAUACAAGGAAAUUAAGUCAACAAUUGAAAAAUCAUUUUCUCUUCUCUUUUUUUACAAAAUCAGUUUUAUAAAAAGGAAUAGCCAAUGGAUAACUGAUCUUUGUUUCUGUAUGCUAGUGCCCUAGACUCCUACAACUGUCCCUUUGUCUUGAUUUUGCUAACAUCCCUUACAAAUUCCCCUGGGCUCCCUAGUGUCUCUGUGCUUGGGGAGUUGAGCAUGUAAAUCCUCCUGCCUAGAGAUGAAAAUAUGCCCUUCCUCUCCCCACCUAGUUUGUACCAGACACUUUUAGAUUCACAUGCAAAGGUUGGCUUCCCCAGAAAAAACCAGCAGUGAAGCAAUAAAACCUUCAUGUGCUUGAGUGCCUAGGGAUUG
RNAcentral lists this long non-coding RNA (922 nucleotides) under Monodelphis domestica (gray short-tailed opossum). RNAcentral describes it as "lncRNA (ENSMODG00000040760.1)". Lineage: Eukaryota; Metazoa; Chordata; Mammalia; Didelphimorphia; Didelphidae. The record is from RNAcentral.